UGAUGCGAAUCUCAGGCAUGGAGCUGUC
RNAcentral lists this small RNA (28 nucleotides) under Bombyx mori (domestic silkworm). RNAcentral describes it as "ovarian small RNA-32857". Lineage: Eukaryota; Metazoa; Arthropoda; Insecta; Lepidoptera; Bombycidae. The record is from RNAcentral.